AGAGUUUGAUCAUGGCUCAGAUUGAACGCUGGCGGCGUGCCUAACACAUGCAAGUCGAGCGGCAGCGGGCCCGCAAGGGUGCCGGCGAGCGGCGGACGGGUGAGCAAUACAUAGGAAUCUGCCUCAGAGCGGGGGAUAGCCAGGGGAAACCCUGAUUAAUACCGCAUGAUGUCGAGAGACCAAAGUGGGGGACCGUAAGGCCUCACACUCUGAGAUGAGCCUAUGUCGGAUUAGCUAGUUGGCGGGGUAACGGCCCACCAAGGCGACGAUCCGUAGCUGGUCUGAGAGGACGAUCAGCCACACUGGAACUGAGACACGGUCCAGACUCCUACGGGAGGCAGCAGUGGGGAAUCUUGCGCAAUGGGCGAAAGCCUGACGCAGCAACGCCGCGUGUGUGAUGAAGGUCUUCGGAUCGUAAAGCACUGUCGGGAGGGACGAAUAAGGCGGCGGCUAACAUCCGCAGCCGAUGACGGUACCUCCAAAGGAAGCACCGGCUAACUCUGUGCCAGCAGCCGCGGUAAUACAGAGGGUGCGAGCGUUGUUCGGAAUUAUUGGGCGUAAAGCGCGUGUAGGCGGCCUUGCAAGUUGGGUGUGAAAGCCCUCGGCUUAACCGAGGAAGUGCGCCCAAAACUACAGGGCUUGAGUACCGGAGAGGGUGGCGGAAUUCCCGGUGUAGAGGUGAAAUUCGUAGAUAUCGGGAGGAACACCAGUGGCGAAGGCGGCCACCUGGACGGAUACUGACGCUGAGACGCGAAAGCGUGGGUAGCAAACAGGAUUAGAUACCCUGGUAGUCCACGCUGUAAACGAUGAGCGCUAGGUGUUGUGGGUGUUGACCCCCGCAGUGCCGCAGCUAACGCAUUAAGCGCUCCGCCUGGGAAGUACGGCCGCAAGGCUAAAACUCAAAGGAAUUGACGG
This 915-nucleotide ribosomal RNA is filed under the name uncultured bacterium. RNAcentral's name for it is "bacterial SSU rRNA". It matches the Rfam family "Bacterial small subunit ribosomal RNA", at positions 8 to 916 of the family's 1533-position model. The record is from RNAcentral.